AUAAUGCAAGUCGAGCGGACAGAUGGGAGCUUGCUCCCUGAUGUUAGCGGCGGACGGGUGAGUAACACGUGGGUAACCUGCCUGUAAGACUGGGAUAACUCCGGGAAACCGGGGCUAAUACCGGAUGGUUGUCUGAACCGCAUGGUUCAGACAUAAAAGGUGGCUUCGGCUACCACUUACAGAUGGACCCGCGGCGCAUUAGCUAGUUGGUGAGGUAACGGCUCACCAAGGCGACGAUGCGUAGCCGACCUGAGAGGGUGAUCGGCCACACUGGGACUGAGACACGGCCCAGACUCCUACGGGAGGCAGCAGUAGGGAAUCUUCCGCAAUGGACGAAAGUCUGACGGAGCAACGCCGCGUGAGUGAUGAAGGUUUUCGGAUCGUAAAGCUCUGUUGUUAGGGAAGAACAAGUGCCGUUCAAAUAGGGCGGCACCUUGACGGUACCUAACCAGAAAGCCACGGCUAACUACGUGCCAGCAGCCGCGGUAAUACGUAGGUGGCAAGCGUUGUCCGGAAUUAUUGGGCGUAAAGGGCUCGCAGGCGGUUUCUUAAGUCUGAUGUGAAAGCCCCCGGCUCAACCGGGGAGGGUCAUUGGAAACUGGGGAACUUGAGUGCAGAAGAGGAGAGUGGAAUUCCACGUGUAGCGGUGAAAUGCGUAGAGAUGUGGAGGAACACCAGUGGCGAAGGCGACUCUCUGGUCUGUAACUGACGCUGAGGAGCGAAAGCGUGGGGAGCGAACAGGAUUAGAUACCCUGGUAGUCCACGCCGUAAACGAUGAGUGCUAAGUGUUAGGGGGUUUCCGCCCCUUAGUGCUGCAGCUAACGCAUUAAGCACUCCGCCUGGGGAGUACGGUCGCAAGACUGAAACUCAAAGGAAUUGACGGGGGCCCGCACAAGCGGUGGAGCAUGUG
RNAcentral lists this ribosomal RNA (910 nucleotides) under Bacillus subtilis. Its description in RNAcentral is "bacterial SSU rRNA". It matches the Rfam family "Bacterial small subunit ribosomal RNA", at positions 51 to 943 of the family's 1533-position model. The record is from RNAcentral. Lineage: Bacteria; Bacillati; Bacillota; Bacilli; Caryophanales; Bacillaceae.